This 400-nucleotide ribosomal RNA is filed under the name phytoplankton environmental sample. RNAcentral's name for it is "partial small subunit ribosomal RNA". It matches the Rfam family "Eukaryotic small subunit ribosomal RNA", at positions 587 to 974 of the family's 1831-position model. The record is from RNAcentral.
AGCUCCAAUAGCGUAUAUUAAAGUUGCUGCAGUUAAAAAGCUCGUAGUUGGAUUUGUGGCGCGGCCGUCCGGCGGGGGGCCAUUUAUUGGUCCCGUUUGUCCUGGUUUUCGGCCUUCCCUUUCUCGGGUCUAGCGUAUUGGCUGGCAUUAGGUUGUCGGCCGCUUCGCGCCCGUCGUUUACUGUGAAAAAAUUAGAGUGUUCAAAGCAGGCUUAGGCCGUUGGAUACAUUAGCAUGGAAUAAUGAGAUAGGGCCACCGCGGUCUAUUUUGUUGGUUUGCACGUUGUGGUAAUGAUUAACAGGAACGGUUGGGGGUAUUCGUAUUCAAUUGUCAGAGGUGAAAUUCUUGGAUUUAUGGAAGACGAACUACUGCGAAAGCAUUUACCAUGGAUGUUUUCAUU